This 345-nucleotide unclassified non-coding RNA is filed under the name soil metagenome. RNAcentral describes it as "partial contains 5.8S ribosomal RNA, internal transcribed spacer 2, and large subunit ribosomal RNA". The stretch from base 1 to 120 matches the Rfam family "5.8S ribosomal RNA", at positions 35 to 154 of the family's 154-position model. The record is from RNAcentral.
GAUGAAGAAAGUAGCGAAAUGCGAUACGUAAUGUGAAUUGCAGAAUUCAGUGAAUCAUCGAGUCUUUGAACGCACAUUGCGCCCCCUGGUAUUCCGGGGGGCAUGCCUGACCGAGCGUCAUUGCUGCCCUCAAGCACGGCUUGUGUGUUGGGCCUCCGUCCUCCUCCCGGGGGACGGGCCCGAAAGGCAGCGGCGGCACCGCGUCCGGUCCUCGAGCGUAUGGGGCUUCGUCACCCGCUCUUGUAGGCCCGGCCGGCGCUUGCCGACACAUCAAUCUUUUUUCCAGGUUGACCUCGGAUCAGGUAGGGAUACCCGCUGAACUUAAGCAUAUCAAUAAGCGGAGGA